RNAcentral lists this transfer RNA (61 nucleotides) under Cornu aspersum (brown garden snail). RNAcentral describes it as "Helix aspersa (brown garden snail) tRNA-Ala". Lineage: Eukaryota; Metazoa; Mollusca; Gastropoda; Stylommatophora; Helicidae. The record is from RNAcentral.
GAAAUAAUACUUUAUAUAGAAGGUCUAGUUUGCAUCUAGAGAGAAAUUAUGUUUUAUUUCA